AUUGAACGCUGGCGGCAGGCCUAACACAUGCAAGUCGAGCGAGCGGCGGACGGGUGAGUAAUGUAUGGGGACUGCCCGAUAGAGGGGGAUAACUACUGGAAACGGUAGCUAAUACCGCAUACUAUCGGAUAACCCAUAUGGGAUUAGCUAGUUGGUGAGGUAAUGGCUCACCAAGGCGACGAUGCCUAGCUGGUCUGAGAGGAUGAUCAGCCACACUGGGACUUAGUCACGGCCCAGAAUCCUACGCAGGCACGAAUAGAGAAUAUUCCACAAUGGGCGCAAGCCUGACGCAGCCAUGCCGCGUGUAUGAAGAAAGACUUAAGGUUGUAAAGUACUUUGAGUCGGGAGGCGUUAACGACAGAAGAAGCACCGGCUAACUCCGUGCCAGCAGCCGCGGUAAUGC
This 403-nucleotide ribosomal RNA is filed under the name uncultured bacterium. Its description in RNAcentral is "partial 16S ribosomal RNA". It matches the Rfam family "Bacterial small subunit ribosomal RNA", at positions 30 to 526 of the family's 1533-position model. The record is from RNAcentral.